RNAcentral lists this unclassified non-coding RNA (232 nucleotides) under Hevea brasiliensis (rubber tree). The record is from RNAcentral. Lineage: Eukaryota; Viridiplantae; Streptophyta; Magnoliopsida; Malpighiales; Euphorbiaceae.
UUACAAUCCAAUUGAUUUUGAUUAUAUUUUUGAGUAAGAUGAUCCACUGUAUCCUUGGUUGGAGGAAAAAAAAUUUUCCUUUGCUUGAUGGUGAGCAAAAUCCUUGGUUUGAUGAGAAUGAUGUUCGAUAGAAAUGCUCCAUCACAAUCCAAUGCUCAAGAUUAAGGACAAGAAAGUUGUGUCAGUAAUACUUAUGCAUUAACAAGUUCAAGCGAUAAUGAUAGUGAUGAUG